Molecule: ribosomal RNA, 584 nt
Filed under: uncultured Pseudomonadota bacterium
Lineage: Bacteria; Pseudomonadati; Pseudomonadota
Description: bacterial SSU rRNA
Rfam family: Bacterial small subunit ribosomal RNA
Source: RNAcentral
UGACGAGUGGCGAACGGGUGAGUAAUACAUCGGAACGUGCCCGAUCGUGGGGGAUAACGAAGCGAAAGCUUUGCUAAUACCGCAUACGAUCUACGGAUGAAAGCGGGGGAUCUUCGGACCUCGCGCGGACGGAGCGGCCGAUGGCAGAUUAGGUAGUUGGUGGGAUAAAAGCUUACCAAGCCGACGAUCUGUAGCUGGUCUGAGAGGAUGAUCAGCCACACUGGGACUGAGACACGGCCCAGACUCCUACGGGAGGCAGCAGUGGGGAAUUUUGGACAAUGGGCGCAAGCCUGAUCCAGCCAUGCCGCGUGGAGGAUGACACAUUUCGGUGCGUAAACUCCUUUUAUAUAAGAAGAUAAUGACGGUAUUAUAUGAAUAAGCACCGGCUAACUCCGUGCCAGCAGCCGCGGUAAUACGGGGGGUGCAAGCGUUACUCGGAAUCACUGGGCGUAAAGAGCAUGUAGGCGGAUUGAUAAGUUUGAAGUGAAAUCCUAUAGCUUAACUAUAGAACUGCUUUGAAAACUGUUAAUCUAGAAUGUGGGAGAGGUAGAUGGAAUUUCUGGUGUAGGGGUAAAAUCCGUAGA